ACAGUCUCCCACAGGCCCCUCCUGACAGCAGGAGUUGCAGAUAUGAGCAUUAGCAGGCACUAAUGAGGACAUCUGAACUGGGUUAGUGGUGAUUUUUCAGCUGUUGAACCAAUCACCAGACUAUGAAAGCCGUGAGGUGGAUUAGCAAGGUAUUUUGCUUAACACUGAAGAGCAAGGGUGGCACUGCCUGUGGAUGGUCCUGGAGGAACUGCAGGGGAUUCCCUUUCUUGCUUCACAUCAUAGCAUGGUUCCUUGUGUUUGUCUCAUGAGAAAUAGAACAGCUCUGUUUGACUGAUACCCUACUUUUCUUUUGAGACUGUUUAAGGUCAACUGUAGCUGGAGCCAGAAAACUGCUUCUGGAAGAGAAGGGCAGAAUCAUUCUUUAUAACUGGAAUGCCGGGUGGGAAUCCUUCGGCCUCCAUCUGGAACAGCUUUGACCAAACAAAGGCCACAGAUCUGCCUGCACUACAGUUGGUGGGAAUACUGCCACAGAAUUCCUUGGGAGCAACAUUAGGCUUCGAUUAUGGUCACAGCAAGAGAGUAGUACAUGUACAGCUGCCAAAAAAUAUUAACAAAUAAUUCUAGAAAUGUUUGUCUCUUCUUUCCUUUCUUUUUAUUUUACUUUAAAGCAACUAACAGAAAAGCUUUUGCCUGUCAGGAAUGAGAAUUAUAAAACCUAAAACCAAAAUAUCAGGCCCCAGCUCCCUCUGCUUACAGAGAGACAGGUUAGGAAAGGCAUGGUUUGCAAAGUACUUUGAGCCACUGUCCCCUCUUCCAGAUGUAGGGUUGAGCCUUGACAGCCACCGGUGUUGCCCCCAGCACUCCCUGGGAAGUACGGCAUUGCUGAGUGCAGCAUGCCUUGGCCUUUCGCUCUCCUUGCACAAGGGCCCGUGCUGGGUCUGCUCAAGUUUGCUUCUUUUGUGGCCAGAUAUACUGCCGGAGUGAGCUCAGCAGCAUAAUAGCGUAAAAUGUAAAGGGCAGGGGCCAGAGAGCACUGGCACCUCUCAGAUAGCCCCUUCUCACCAGGGGCAUCUCGUCAUGCACUUGAUGCAUCUGCUCCCUGUUCUGUGCAUUAGCUCUGCUUGUGCCUUGUUUUAUGAGUGUUUCACAGCAUGAGUGCUCUGAACAGCUUUCUUAAGCUAUAAUCUUGAUGCUCUAGCUUUGCAAAUCAGGAUACCCUUAACAACGGGGAGAAGAGUAUAAAGCGGAAUUUGUGGAUGCUGAAUUGUUCCCUGCCUGAAACAAUUAAAUGUUUGGGCGGAGCCUAGACCUUUCUGGAUGCUAAUUGGAAUAGAAAUUAAUAUAUAGUACAGCAGGAAGAACUUACUGCAGAAAAUCUUUCCUGAAAACACAGUGUGGACAGAUUUAAUUCCACUAGAUUAAUUUAAAAGGGAAAAUGGCAUCAAUUAUGUUACAUAACUUCCUACAGUUAUGUGUUGGUAACAAAUGUAAAGUGUUACGCUCCUGAGGUCAGCAGAGUUUUUACCAUUAACUUAAAUGCAAGUACAAUAGGAUUUUUAAAAUGCUUUGUCUACAGACUUCCAUAAUUAUUCCUUUCCUGUGAGGCCUUUUAAGAAAGGACUAUAACAUAGAUUUUUCUUCUUUCAUAAAAAUUAAUUCAAGACGGUUAGAGAUGCCUCUUUCUUUGUAAUUUCUCUAGCUGUAUAAUCCAGGCUUUAAUGCUGACCACAGUGUGAGAGCUCAAGUCUGGAGUGCUUUGUAUUUUGUCCCAUGAUGUUUCUUUCCUGAACUACAAAGGAGAGGCCUUUCCCAAGGUGAAAAACCAGAAAUGUGGUCCUGCUAGUCUAAAGGCGGGUCAGAGUAGUCAGUGAGGUAUAAGGAGAAGAAAGCCAAAGGCCCUACUUGAUGCUGUCUUUUCUUAUUUUGACUGAAUGUUUUAUGUAGUUAGUGGGGAAAACAUAAGCGUAUAAACAGCUGUUGACACCAAAGAAUGCUUUCAUUUCUAAUUCUAUAAAAAGACCAUUCAGAAGCUAUAGAAAUUAGUGAGUAAUUUUUGAUUGCUCAGUAUCUUUACUUCCUCUCAGCCUAGGGAAAGUGAGUGUAAAACCAAAUCGACUUGACUUGCUAGGGUUUUUGCUUUGCAGUUGCAAAAAGUGGCACAAGCUUUGGAGCAAGUCAGAAUGUAGCUACAGCUCUCUUACAACCAAGAUUACUCAGGCCAGCUGUUAGGAGCCAGCAGGAAAUUGCUGUGGAUAUAGAAAUUAGUGAAUUGUUUUCUAAGUUUUUGGAAGUAUACUUUUUCCCACCUUGUGGGAAAGGGUAUGUUCACUCAUUCACUCCUCAUUCUCUAUACUUUCUCUAUACUUUCUCUAUACAUGCUCUAUACAGAGAAUUUAUUUUAUUUCUUUAUUUCUUAACUGAUCAAUCACUUGGCUUUGCAAAAAAUAAGGUUCUAUGAAACAUGAUGCCACAAAAAUAUGCUUACACAAGGGUAGUGAAGGGAGAAAACCUACAACCAAACUACUUGGUCUAGUAUAGUUUGCCAGCAUGCUGUAGGAUAUGAGGACUACCUAUGGUGUCUGAGGACAUCAAUGUGUAAUGUAGAAGUUUAAUGCUAUUCAGCUUCAUAUUAAGUAGAUGAGACAGAUUAGAGUAUGUGUAUAUCUAGAUGCACUUGCACAGGACCAGGACCCCUUUCCACUCAUGGUUCUUCAGUGACUUAUUAUGUGGCUCAGAAAGCUGUAUGACACCAUGGUUUUCAUCUUGCAUAUAUGCAAAGAUGCAUACACUCUUACAUAUCUGUUUUGCCUUGGCAAUUGGCAUGGUAUUUAGGCUGUUGUAUGCUCUCUUAAAAAAAAAAUGCACACAGAAUUGCUGCAGCUGUGCAUGAUGUGCUGUCAGUUGCAGGCACUGCCUAUAUGUCUGCAUGCAGAGUGCUGAGACUGAUCUCACUUGGUGCUAUGCUGUGCAUCUUGAGCUCUGCUCUUAACCACGCAGCAAUUAGUCCAGCUGUGCUGGUCAGGAUUUUGCCUUGUCUGCCUGCUCUCCAGAACUGAAUCCUGAUAGUCUGGGACUUGGACAGACCCAAUACACAUCCCUAACAUGGAGUCAUGAAAGAUGGUGUGGUUUGGUUCCACAUCCUCUUACCCUGCUAGCAGCUAGCACAGAUGCACAAACGAAGCCUGUGACUAAGCGUCACUUCGACUUGAAUUCAGCAAAGCGCUCAUUCAGGCUUAAUCUUAAGCACAUGGAUAAUCCACUGCUAUUGAGCGACUUAAAUACACCAUCUUUCGGGGAACUAAGUAUGUGCUUGGAUGCUGAAAUAAAAUCUUUUUUUCUCCAAAUAAAUUCAUGCCUAGCUAUAAGUACAAACAAAUGCUAACGUACAUGGCUAAUGAUGCUCUAGCCAGAAUUACUCAUCGUUGCAGCUGUACAUCCGAGUGUAAUUUUAAUUAGAGUUUAAUUAUCUUUUCAUUUAUUUUCUUCAGCUAGUAAAUUUAUACCUUGCUCUAAGUUUUCCUGUGAGUAUAAAUUAAAGCAACAUUAAUAACAUUAUAUUUGUCCUAAUUUGUGUAUCUGCAUUUAUUUAUCUGUUUUUUAUUAGUCAUAAUUAAGUAUGUUUGGAGAGAUCAGGCAACUAAUCUAUGUGUAGUAGAAAAUAAUGCUAGGCAAUAUCAUUAUAAUAAUAAGACUUUCUGGUUUACCGAAUGGGAAUAAAAAUAUCAUACAUUUGUGAUUAGGGUUCGUAAAAUAUUGAAAAUAUUAAUUUGAGGAAAAGCUGUCCAAAUAGCAAUUAAAAUAGAAAAAAAAAGACUAUUUGACACUGGAAGUUGUUCUAAAAUGAUCUUGAUUUUUUUUUUUUUUGUUCAAAAGUUGCCCAUUAUGGAAAUUAAUGUCAACUUAAUUUACAAUUAUUUAAUACUUCAUUAUGGAAAUUUAUCUCUUCUGGAAAUAUUUGUGGAGAAAAAGUUCAAUUCAAGCAUUUUUACCAACUUAGGGGAGUUCAAGUUCUGCAGUUUUUUAAUGGAAUGAGUUAUUUCUUAGAUGUAUUGCCACACUAAAUAAUUUAAGAAUUUGUAUUUCUGCUGACACAUCUCCUUCGGUCCAACUGCCUUAAAAUCAUUCAUCAAUGUAUGAGAAAAGUGGAAAACUAUUAUGAGCCUCAUUGUAUACAGCAGAAAACUCAGGUAUUGGAAAAACAAGGCACAAUGGGUUUAGAUAAAGUGACUGAUAAUUUGAAUGAUCAUGUUUUUGUAUGCUUUACUUAAAAUGUCUUAAGAAGUAGCUUAUCUGUACUGGAAAUGUAUAAACUGUUUCUUUUGUCUUUCUGUAGUCUGUGGAUCAUUUCAAAGCAUUGCUUAGCCAGCAUGCAGAUUAGGGAUGGGCGGCUCUAUUGUGUUACUUCUGUUUUGUAGUUCAGAGUUACUUCUCCUUGCAUGCCUGAGUCAGCUGGCCUCGCUUCUCUGAGGCAUCGAAAAGUUCACAAGACAU
Anas platyrhynchos (mallard) is the source of this 4452-nucleotide non-coding RNA. The record is from RefSeq and is a predicted model, not a curated record. Lineage: Eukaryota; Metazoa; Chordata; Aves; Anseriformes; Anatidae.